Molecule: ribosomal RNA, 253 nt
Filed under: uncultured bacterium
Lineage: Bacteria
Description: partial 16S ribosomal RNA
Rfam family: Bacterial small subunit ribosomal RNA
Source: RNAcentral
UACGAAGGGGGCUAGCGUUGUUCGGAAUUAUUGGGCGUAAAGGGCGCGUAGGCGGGCUGUCAAGUCUGGGGUGAAAUCCCGCGGCUCAACCGUGGAACUGCCUCAGAUACUGACGGCCUCGAGGGAGGUAGGGGCGAGCGGAACUAAUGGUGGAGCGGUGAAAUGCGUUGAUAUCAUUAGGAACUCCGGUGGCGAAGGCGGCUCGCUGGACCUCUUCUGACGCUGAGGCGCGAAAGCCAGGGGAGCAAACGGG